ACGGGUGAGUAACGCGUGUGAACGUGCCUUUCGGUUCGGAAUAACUCAGGGAAACUUGAGCUAAUACCGGAUACGCCCUUAGGGGGAAAGAUUUAUUGCCGAAAGAUCGGCCCGCGUCCGAUUAGCUAGUUGGUGAGGUAAAGGCUCACCAAGGCGACGAUCGGUAGCUGGUCUGAGAGGAUGAUCAGCCACACUGGGACUGAGACACGGCCCAGACUCCUACGGGAGGCAGCAGUGGGGAAUAUUGGACAAUGGGCGCAAGCCUGAUCCAGCCAUGCCGCGUGAGUGAUGAAGGCCUUAGGGUUGUAAAGCUCUUUCGCCAGGGACGAUAAUGACGGUACCUGGAUAAGAAGCCCCGGCUAACUUCGUGCCAGCAGCCGCGGUAAUACGAAGGGGGCUAGCGUUGUUCGGAAUCACUGGGCGUAAAGCGCACGUAGGCGGAUUGUUAAGUCAGGGGUGAAAUCCCGAGGCUCAACCUCGGAACUGCCUUUGAUACUGGCGAUCUAGAGUCCGGGAGAGGUGAGUGGAACUGCGAGU
This 537-nucleotide ribosomal RNA is filed under the name uncultured bacterium. Its description in RNAcentral is "bacterial SSU rRNA". It matches the Rfam family "Bacterial small subunit ribosomal RNA", at positions 102 to 674 of the family's 1533-position model. The record is from RNAcentral.